RNAcentral lists this ribosomal RNA (492 nucleotides) under uncultured bacterium. Its description in RNAcentral is "partial 16S ribosomal RNA". It matches the Rfam family "Bacterial small subunit ribosomal RNA", at positions 29 to 507 of the family's 1533-position model. The record is from RNAcentral.
AGUGAACGCUGGCGGUAGGCCUAACACAUGCAAGUCGAACGGCAGCACAGUAAGAGCUUGCUCUUACGGGUGGCGAGUGGCGGACGGGUGAGGAAUACAUCGGAAUCUACUUUUUCGUGGGGGAUAACGUAGGGAAACUUACGCUAAUACCGCAUACGACCUACGGGUGAAAGCAGGGGAUCUUCGGACCUUGCGCGAUUGAAUGAGCCGAUGUCGGAUUAGCUAGUUGGCGGGGUAAAGGCCCACCAAGGCGACGAUCCGUAGCUGGUCUGAGAGGAUGAUCAGCCGCACUGGAACUGGGACACGGUCCAGACUCCUACGGGAGGCAGCAGUGGGGAAUAUUGGACAAUGGGCGCAAGCCUGAUCCAGCCGUACCGCGUGGGUGAAGAAGGCCUUCUGGUUGUAAAGCCCUUUUGUUGGGAAAGAAAAGCAGCAGGUUAAUACCCCGCUGUUCUGACGGUACCCAAAGAAUAAGCACCGGCUAACUUCGUG